This 938-nucleotide ribosomal RNA is filed under the name uncultured eubacterium WCHA1-09. RNAcentral describes it as "bacterial SSU rRNA". It matches the Rfam family "Bacterial small subunit ribosomal RNA", at positions 524 to 1482 of the family's 1533-position model. Lineage: Bacteria; Candidatus Microgenomatota. The record is from RNAcentral.
UACAGAGGGUGCAAGCGUUAUCCGGAUUUAUUGGGCGUAAAGCGUUUCGUAGGUUUCUAGAAAAGUUAAUUUUCAAAGACCACGGCUCAACCGGGGGAAGGGAGUUAAUACUAUCUGGAUUGAAAUAUGGUGGGGCUUCUGGAACUGAUGGUGUAGUAGUGAAAUACGUUGAUAUCAUCAGGAACUCCGAGGGCGAAGGCAGGAAGCUAACCAUUUUUUGACACUGAGGAACGACAGCUAGGGGAGCGAAGGGGAUUAGAGACCCCUGUAGUCCUAGCCGUAAACUUUGCUCGCUAGGGGUUAUGAUUUAUCAUUAGCCCCGUAAGCUAACGCGUUAAGCGAGCCGCCUGGGGAGUACGGCCGCAAGGCUAAAACUCAAAGGAAUUGACGGGGACCCGCACAACCAGUGGAGCAUGUGGUUUAAUUCGAGACGAAACGAAAGACCUCACCCAGCCUUGACAUGCUACCGUUUUAGGCAUCUGGAAACAGAAGCCGAUCUUUAGAAAUAUUGAUGGUAGCACAGGUGUUGCAUGGCCGUCGUCAGCUCGUGCCGUAGGGUGUUCCCUUCAGUGGGGUAACGAGCGCAACCCUUGCCCUGAGUUGAAUAUUCUCAGGGGACUCCUUGAAUUUAUUUCAGGGGGAAGUGAGGACGACGUCAGGUCAGCAUGGCCCUUAUAGCUGGGGCGACACACAUACUACAAUGGAGCCGACAGAGGGUUGCCAAGCCGCAAGGUGGAGCUAAUCCCAAAAACGGCUUCUCAGUGGGGAUUGGGGGCUGCAACUCGCCCCCAUGAACUUGGAAUUGGUAGUAAUCGCGAAUCAGCAUGUCGCGGUGAAUACGUUCUCGGGUCUUGUACACACCGCCCGUCAAGUGAGUAAAGUUGUAUAUACCUUAAAUCCCGUUGUACGGGAUCAAGGUAGAGACAGCGAUAAGCACU